ACGAGUAGUAGAUGGCGGUGUCAUCGGCU
Molecule: small RNA, 29 nt
Filed under: Bombyx mori (domestic silkworm)
Lineage: Eukaryota; Metazoa; Arthropoda; Insecta; Lepidoptera; Bombycidae
Description: ovarian small RNA-11442
Source: RNAcentral